RNAcentral lists this ribosomal RNA (515 nucleotides) under uncultured bacterium. RNAcentral describes it as "partial 16S ribosomal RNA". It matches the Rfam family "Bacterial small subunit ribosomal RNA", at positions 28 to 523 of the family's 1533-position model. The record is from RNAcentral.
GACGAACGCUGGCGGCGUGCCUAAUACAUGCAAGUCGAGCGGACUUUCAAGAAGCUUGCUUUUUGAAAGUUAGCGGCGGACGGGUGAGUAACACGUGGGCAACCUGCCUGUAAGACGGGGAUAACUCCGGGAAACCGGGGCUAAUACCGGAUAAUAUCUUUCUUCGCAUGAAGGAAGGUUGAAAGGCGGUGCAAGCUGCCGCUUGCAGAUGGGCCCGCGGCGCAUUAGCUAGUUGGUGAGGUAACGGCUCACCAAGGCGACGACGCGUAGCCGACCUGAGAGGGUGAUCGGCCACACUGGGACUGAGACACGGCCCAGACUCCUACGGGAGGCAGCAGUAGGGAAUCUUCCGCAAUGGACGAAAGUCUGACGGAGCAACGCCGCGUGGGCGAAGAAGGUCUUCGGAUCGUAAAGCUCUGUUGUCGGGGAAGAACAAGUACCGUUCGAAUAGGGCGGUACCUUGACGGUACCUGACCAGAAAGCCACGGCUAACUACGUGCCAGCCGCCGCAGUAA